AGAGGYCYCAAGCGUUGUUCGGAUUCAUUGGGCGUAAAGGGUGCGUAGGCGGCGCGGUAAGUCGGGUGUGAAAUCUCGGAGCUUAACUCCGAAACUGCAUUCGAUACUGCCGUGCUUGAGGACUGGAGAGGAGACUGGAAUUUACGGUGUAGCGGUGAAAUGCGUAGAUAUCGUAAGGAAGACCAGAGGCGAAGGCGGGUCUCUGGACAGUUCCUGACGCUGAGGCACGAAGGUCAGGGGAGCAAACGGGAUUAGAUACCCCGGUAGUCCUGACAGUAAACGGUGCACGUUUGGUGUGGGAGGAUUCGACCCCUUCUGCGCCGGAGCUAACGCGUUAAACGUGCCGCCUGGGGAGUACGGUCGCAAGAUUA
This 371-nucleotide ribosomal RNA is filed under the name uncultured bacterium. RNAcentral describes it as "bacterial SSU rRNA". It matches the Rfam family "Bacterial small subunit ribosomal RNA", at positions 527 to 896 of the family's 1533-position model. The record is from RNAcentral.